This 492-nucleotide ribosomal RNA is filed under the name uncultured bacterium. RNAcentral describes it as "partial 16S ribosomal RNA". It matches the Rfam family "Bacterial small subunit ribosomal RNA", at positions 29 to 507 of the family's 1533-position model. The record is from RNAcentral.
AGUGAACGCUGGCGGUAGGCCUAACACAUGCAAGUCGAACGGCCGCACAGUAAGCGCUUGCCCUUACGGGUGGCGAGUGGCGGGCGGGUGAGGCAUAGAUCGCCUUCUACUUUUUCGGGGGGGAUAACGUAGGAAAACUUACGCUAAUAGCGCAUACGACCUACGGGUGAAUGCAGGAGAUCUUCGGACCUUGCGCGAUUCAAUGAGCCGAUGUCGCAUUAGCUAGUUGGCUGGGUAAGGGCCCACCAAGGCAACGAUGCGUAGCGGACCUGAGAGGAUGAUCAGCCACACUGGAACUGAGACACGGUCCAGACUCCUACGGGAGGCAGCAGUGGGGAAUCUUGGACAAUGGGCGAAAGCCUGACGCAGCCACGCCGCGUGAGUGAAGAAGGUCUUCGGGUCGUAAAACCCUGUUGUUGGGAAAGAAAAGCAGUAGGUUUAUCCCUGGCUGUUCUGACGGUACCCAAAGAAAAAGCACCGGCUAACUUCGUG